GACGAACGCUGGCGGCGUGCUUAACACAUGCAAGUCGAACGGUGAAGCGCUUUCCUUUUUGGUUGGUGUGGAUGAGUGGCGAACGGGUGAGUAACACGUGAGUAACCUGCCCCCUUCUUCUGGAUAACCGCAUGAAAGUGUGGCUAAUACGGGAUAUUCUGCGCCUGCUGCAUGGUGGGUGUGGGAAAGAUUGUGCCUUUGGGUGUUUUCGGUGGGGGAUGGGCUCGCGGCCUAUCAGCUUGUUGGUGGGGUGAUGGCCUACCAAGGCGGUGACGGGUAGCCGGGGUGGGGGGGGGGGCGGUAACAGUGGGACGGGGACAGGGCCCAAACUCCAACGGGAGGAGGCGGGGGGGAAAAUUACACAGGGGGCGCAAGCCUGAGGCAGGGCCCCCGGGUGAGGGAGGGGGGCCUUGGGGUUGUGACCCUUUUUCGCCAGGGAAGCAGGCCUGCUCUUUGGGGGGGGGUGGACGGUAGUUGGAAAAAAAGCGCCGGCUAACUACGG
RNAcentral lists this ribosomal RNA (502 nucleotides) under uncultured bacterium. Its description in RNAcentral is "partial 16S ribosomal RNA". It matches the Rfam family "Bacterial small subunit ribosomal RNA", at positions 28 to 506 of the family's 1533-position model. The record is from RNAcentral.